GAUGAAGAACGUAGCGAAAUGCGAUAAGUAAUGUGAAUUGCAGAAUUCAGUGAAUCAUCGAAUCUUUGAACGCACAUUGCGCCCGCUGGUAUUCCGGCGGGCAUGCCUGUUCGAGCGUCAUUUCAACCCUCAAGCCCCCCGGGUUUGGUGUUGGGGAUCGGCUCUGCCUCACGGCGGUGCCGCCCCCGAAAUACAUUGGCGGUCUCGCUGCAGCCUCCAUUGCGUAGUAGCUAACACCUCGCAACUGGAACGCGGCGCGGCCAUGCCGUAAAACCCCAACUUCUGAAUGUUGACCUCGGAUCAGGUAGGAAUACCCGCUGAACUUAAGCAUAUCAAUAAGCGGAGGA
Molecule: unclassified non-coding RNA, 347 nt
Filed under: soil metagenome
Description: partial contains 5.8S ribosomal RNA, internal transcribed spacer 2, and large subunit ribosomal RNA
Rfam family: 5.8S ribosomal RNA (bases 1-120)
Source: RNAcentral